AGGCAGAUACGCGACUGACGGAAAACGGGCAUGAGCCUGUGUAGGAGAACCUACAGGGAGUGUAUUAUAAAAUAAUAAGCCGACCGUCUGGGCAGCAUGG
This 100-nucleotide non-coding RNA is filed under the name Lachnospiraceae bacterium 10-1. RNAcentral's name for it is "ZMP/ZTP riboswitch aptamer (pfl RNA motif)". It matches the Rfam family "ZMP/ZTP riboswitch aptamer (pfl RNA motif)". Rfam says of the family: Previously known as pfl RNA. ZMP is also known as AICAR. Lineage: Bacteria; Bacillati; Bacillota; Clostridia; Lachnospirales; Lachnospiraceae. RNAcentral also lists the same sequence under 1 other name. The record is from Rfam by way of RNAcentral.